RNAcentral lists this ribosomal RNA (292 nucleotides) under uncultured Acidobacteriota bacterium. RNAcentral's name for it is "uncultured Acidobacteria bacterium partial 16S ribosomal RNA". The record is from RNAcentral. Lineage: Bacteria; Pseudomonadati; Acidobacteriota.
GGACUACUCGGGUAUCUAAUCCCGUUUGCUACCCACGCUUUCGCGCCUCAGCGUCAGUUCCGGCCCAGGUGGCCGCCUUCGCCACCGGUGUUCCUCCCAAUAUCUACGCAUUUCACCGCUACACUGGGAAUUCCACCACCCUCUUCCGGACUCAAGCCUGACAGUAUCUCCCGCACGUCCUCGGUUAAGCCGAGGGAUUUCACGAGAGACUUGAAAGGCCGCCUACGCGCCCUUUACGCCCAAUAAUUCCGAAUAACGCUUGCCCCCUCUGUAUUACCGCGGCGGCUGGCAC